CCUACGGGUGGCAGCAGUGGGGAAUAUUGGACAAUGGGGGCAACCCUGAUCCAGCCAUGCCGCGUGUGUGAAGAAGGCCCUCGGGUUGUAAAGCACUUUCAGUGAGGAAGAACGCCUGGUGGUUAAUACCCAUCAGGAAAGACAUCACUCACAGAAGAAGCACCGGCUAACUCCGUGCCAGCAGCCGCGGUAAUACGGAGGGUGCGAGCGUUAAUCGGAAUUACUGGGCGUAAAGCGCGCGUAGGUGGCUUGAUAAGCCGGUUGUGAAAGCCCCGGGCUCAACCUGGGAACGGCAUCCGGAACUGUCAAGCUAGAGUGCAGGAGAGGAAGGUAGAAUUCCCGGUGUAGCGGUGAAAUGCGUAGAGAUCGGGAGGAAUACCAGUGGCGACGGCGGCCUUCUGGACUGACACUGACACUGAGGUGCGAAAGCGUGGGUAGCAAACAGGAUUAGAUACCCUUGUAGUC
RNAcentral lists this ribosomal RNA (465 nucleotides) under Vreelandella stevensii. RNAcentral describes it as "partial 16S ribosomal RNA". It matches the Rfam family "Bacterial small subunit ribosomal RNA", at positions 338 to 795 of the family's 1533-position model. Lineage: Bacteria; Pseudomonadati; Pseudomonadota; Gammaproteobacteria; Oceanospirillales; Halomonadaceae. The record is from RNAcentral.